AUGACGUCACUAGCGACGCAUCGGGCGCGGCCAGCGCGACUUCAAAAGGCCGCUCCCCGAUCGGGUUAUUACGUACAGUCCGGCUGGAAACUGCGAGGAGGGAGUAGGGGUUGUGUGUUGUUCUAGAAAGUCCUCGACCUUGCAGGGGUGAUAAAUUGGAAGGAGGGCAGGCGGGGCGAGUACAAUGCUGGAAAGACCCAAACACAUUUGUUUGUGACCUUAGCCAAUAUGGUGAAUAUAUGCAUCCUUUCUUUAUGCUUUGCUUUGUAAACCAGAAGCAGUUUAGUGAAAAGAACAUGGAUUUUUGGAGUCCGGCAGAUACAGAAUGAAAGCCAAAAAGUUAACUGUAUAGAGAUGUGCAGAACAACAUUAAAUAUUAUGACUCAAAAGCAGGGACGAAGGUAAAUUUGAAAGAAGAGUAAGAGAGAAAAUGUUUACAGGCCAUUACAAGUUCUUAAGUUAAUAGUAAAUAAGGAAUCAAUUGCUCAAGUUGAAGAAAGCAGUAAACAAGAGAUUGCAUUUACAUGCAGAUGUCUAAAAUUUGUAUUUUUUUAAGUCUAUGCACAAAAGUCAUUUGUUUUAUUGCUUGACAUUCAGUUAUGGCUAGAUUAUUUAACCUAUUUUUUUUGUACUUUGGAAACAAGAAUAUUGUUAAAGGUGCCAUAAAAAUGGACAACAUUGAAAACGGUUUGCAAAUAAACCACCUAACACUGCAGUUCUUUCUACAUGUUAAAAGCCUUGUCUGGGGUUUGUCAUAUGUUAAAUAUAUUUAAACUGGGAAAAUAUGUUGUAGCUUGAAGCCUCCCAUUGGCCCAAACAUCCAAUACAAAAACACAUCUCCACAAAAGGAGCAGGCAGACAAUACAGGUACAUUUAAAGAAGCAGCCAGCUAAUGUCCUAAUGGUUAAAAAUUUACCACUGUUUUAUAUGAGAUUUCGAACCACUGUGGAUAAGAAGAGAAUUUUUGGAUUCAGGAAGAUGUGUACAGUACAUAUGGAUUUUUUUUGUGAAAUCAUAUUCACUAUAUUGCUCAAGAAUUAUCUGCAUUUACGUCUGCAAUCUGUUCAAUGAUAACCAAGUUCCUAGAAAUAGUAUUCAUCCACAUUAAAGUAACAACGAGUGAGCAAGGAAUCACACACAAACACUGGAGAGAAUUUAGUUGCUCGCAGAGAACAACACAAUGUCAUGUGCCACAUGUCAAAGCUAGUAGCAAGCUCUCUUUCAUUAGUUCUUAGAAGGAAAAAAGAAAAAGAAGUGUGAUACUGCUGAUGUGGCAAACACGCUAAACGUCAACAGCAAACACGAUUCUCUAGGCAUGUAUCUAAAAUAGAUUCACUUUCUCAACACAAGAGUCCAUGCUAUGUUGCAUUGUGGAAAAAAGGUGGUUUCUAUUUGGACUGAAUAUUCUGUCGUUCAUUUAUAAAUAAAUAAAUGACUGAAUGUCUUUAUUGCUCUAAGUUCUGAGGGUCUGGUUAAAUAUGGAGAUCCCCCAUCUACGGUGUUUCCUUGGCAUGAAACCAGGCUUCUGGGUUAUUUUUAAAAUUGUUCUGAGAGCCUGGUAAAACUGAUCUCACUUACACAAACAAACAAGCAAAUGGACCCAGAAGUGAACCCAAUUGCUCUGUAAAGACAUUGCUCGCCAGCUUUCUCAUCUCUUAAGAAUAAACAAUAAUAGGAAGGUCUCUCUAAUAAAAUCUGGUGGAUUCUCUUUAACGAUACUAGUAUUUAGAGAUAGAAUGAAGAUCUAUAUCAAUAGACUAUUAGCAAUAGAUAAGAUUUCCUGUGCAAUUGCAUUUCCGGGCACAUAAUGUGAACUAUAGUAUAAAGUUGUUUUUGUAGGGUUCUGCUGUGUCAUAUCUUUAUAAAUAAAAAGUGGCAAUAAAAUGUUACAAUAUGUAAAAAUGUCAAUAACCUCUGUGUGUGUAUAUAUGUAUACGCAUGGAGAGAGAGAAAGAGAGAGAGAUUUCUGCCAUUUUCUGUAGUCUUUAUCAAAAAUAACAAGAUAACGCUUUCUUUUUUAUCUAAACGACAUUGAAAGUUUUCCCAAAUUAUGCUCUCCUGUGUUAGGAAGAAAAUAUGUAGAUUUUUUCUGAAUGUGUAUCACAGGUGUAGAAAAAUCAAAACCAACAAUUACACUGAGGUGCGCUGACUUUAUGGAAAAUAAUAUAUGGAAAUAUGAGAACAAAACUGUAUUUCAAAAAUGUAAAAUGGAACCCUGAAAGCUGGCUCAUGUUGCUGUUAUCCAAGUGUGUUUUGUUUGUCUUUAAACAUUAGCUCUCAGUAGAUAAAAACUACAAAUGUGGAAGUAGAAGAAUUGUGUCACAUAAAGGGAUUUUUUGGUUUGCUUCUAAAGGAGAACACAGUGAAAAUAACAGUUAUCUGCUGGUAUUUAAAAGACGUGUUUCAUCUUUUACCUCUCUCACUGCACUGAUAGGCAGGGCUCUCAUCUCAUUACUGGUUUCUAAAAUUUUUAUCCAUACUAUGUCGAAUCGGAAAUAGUUUUUAAUAUAUAAUGCUAUAAAUAUAUUUAUCAUGAAUAUCUUACUUGUUAGAGAAACGGUAAAUGGAGUAUGCAGGACUGUCCUUUGAGUGAUGCUCUCUGUUGGUACAUUACCCAUUCAUUUAUCUUUUGAACAUACCGGCAUGACUUUGUACUGCUUUGCAAGUUAUUCAGCGUUUUUAAGUACACGAGACUGAAGAACACAUAAGUUUUGAACUCAAGAAAAUGAGAUGAUAGUGGAGAGUUUACACACACACGCGAUUCUAUACAGUUCACUUGUGCCUUGGAGGGAUAGUAUUAUCAUUAUUAUGAAUAAUAAAAAACACAAUUUGUCCCAGUAGUACUGGCCACCCUGUUUUAAGAGUUUAGAAGAUCCCUGAGCACAUUGUUUCUGACUCUUACCCCAACUCCAAAGUGAUAGGGCUUCUAUUGUUGAUAGCAAGAUGGAUUGUCAUUCACAGUAAGUCAAUCAUAAGGUGCUUAUUUACCCUUUGUUUUUCACCAAUCAGCACAAAGAACUGUCAGAAAAUAACUUUUUAUUAUUAUUAUCUUAAAAUAAUAGCACUGGAAAGACACAUGAUUUAAACAAUCAAUGUUUGAAACAGUGGCUUUAGGAUUAUUAUCUGGCUGCCCC
Equus caballus (horse) is the source of this 3134-nucleotide long non-coding RNA. NCBI's taxonomy places the organism in Eukaryota, Metazoa, Chordata, Mammalia, Perissodactyla, Equidae. The record is from Ensembl.